Culicoides brevitarsis is the source of this 855-nucleotide long non-coding RNA. RefSeq lists it as uncharacterized. NCBI's taxonomy places the organism in Eukaryota, Metazoa, Arthropoda, Insecta, Diptera, Ceratopogonidae. The transcript is spliced from 3 exons. The record is from RefSeq and is a predicted model, not a curated record.
UUUUCACACGUAAACAAAACUUUUUUUAAGACAAAAAAAAUAAUUUUAAUAAUAUCUUUGCUAGUUUCCGCUUUAAAAAUACUUUUUUUUCCUGCUAUACAUAUUGAACUAGCAAAUACAGUCAAAAUUGAACAGAAAUUCUGCUAUAAUCUGACAUGAUGUAGUUCUUUCUAUCUGGUAAUGCGGCUGAGAUGAUGGACUCUUAAUAUUCUUGGAAUUUGUUUUGUUGGAGUUUCGUUCAGUGCUCUCACGUAUAAUUUAAAGAACAACAAUCUCGUGCCACGUAAAAUCGUAUGCGAAACUCAAAACAUCAAAUUUUUUCAAACGAUCAUCGUUUCAUCUCGAUGUAAAAGUUUGAUUUAUUUGUUGUGUUGUUGAUUCUCGCCACAGAGUUUUGUCGUUUUGAAUUGAAUGUCAUGAUAGAUAAAAUCUACGAACGUUCUCAGAAGAGUUUUAAGUUUGUUUGAGAACUGAAUCCAAAACUUUUUUGUUGUAAAUUUAAAAAAAAUGGAUUACGAAAGUAAUUUGACGCAUUAGAGUGGGUUGUGACCCAGAAGAAGAGUUUGUGUGAACAUUUUCUUAAAAGGAACUAAACAACGAGACAGGAGAUACCGCUUUUAAAAAAUUUUUCCGGUUUUUGGAUCCGUUUAUAAGUUGUGUUAAACUUGUUAUUACAAAAAAAAAAUGGAGAUCCGAUAUGCUGUUUAGAAGGAAAGCAAGAGAUAUAAAUCAAUGUGGCACGAUAAUUUAUAUUUGAAAGGGAUCAUUCGCAUAAGAUCAUCAUAAAAUACAUCAUGUGCAAAAUCUUCUAUUAAAAAAGAAUUAAUAUAUUUUAUUCAAAUAUUUUAUUAAUUA